Molecule: ribosomal RNA, 762 nt
Filed under: uncultured bacterium
Lineage: Bacteria
Description: bacterial SSU rRNA
Rfam family: Bacterial small subunit ribosomal RNA
Source: RNAcentral
AGAGUUUGAUCAUGGCUCAGGAUGAACGCUGACAGGAUGCUUAACACAUGCAAGUCUACUUGAUCCUUCGGGUGAUGGUGGCGGACGGGUGAGUAACGCGUAAAGAACUUGCCCUGCAGUCUGGGACAACAUUUGGAAACGGAUGCUAAUACCGGAUAUUAUGUGAGUUUCGCAUGAAAUUCAUAUGAAAGCUAUAUGCGCUGCAGGAGAGCUUUGCGUCCUAUUAGCUAGUUGGUGAGGUAACGGCUCACCAAGGCGAUGAUAGGUAGCCGGCCUGAGAGGGUGAACGGCCACAAGGGGACUGAGACACGGCCCUUACUCCUACGGGAGGCAGCAGUGGGGAAUAUUGGACAAUGGACCAAAAGUCUGAUCCAGCAAUUCUGUGUGCACGAUGAAGUUUUUCGGAAUGUAAAGUGCUUUCAGUUGGGACGAAGUAAGUGACGGUACCAACAGAAGAAGCGACGGCUAAAUACGUGCCAGCAGCCGCGGUAAUACGUAUGUCGCAAGCGUUAUCCGGAUUUAUUGGGCGUAAAGCGCGUCUAGGCGGUUUGGUAAGUCUGAUGUGAAAAUGCGGGGCUCAACUCCGUAUUGCGUUGGAAACUGCCAAACUAGAGUACUGGAGAGGUGGGCGGAACUACAAGUGUAGAGGUGAAAUUCGUAGAUAUCAGGAGGAACACCGGUGGCGAAGGCGGUUCUCUGGGCAUUACCUGACGCUGAGGAGCGAAAGUGUGGGGAGCGAACAGGAUUAGAUACCCUGGUAGU